AAGUCGUAACAAGGUUUCCGUAGGUGAACCUGCGGAAGGAUCAUUAACACAAUGAUAAGAGAUACAAACUGAUUCAUCAGUUUUUAUCUCUAUUCUCUACACCCCCCUUUUGGAUGAAUUACGAAGAAAAACACACAAAAAAAAUCAAGGCAAAACAAUUCAUCUUCGGAUGGUUUGUUUUUGAUUUGGCUUUUUCUGUGCUUUUUCUACAUUUUUUCUCUUUUCUUUUAAACCCAACCCCAUUCUUUAUACUAUGCCAAUGUCUAAUAUCAAUUGUUUGAGAAAACGCUUAAAAAACAACUCUUAACAACGGAUAUCUUGGCUCUC
RNAcentral lists this unclassified non-coding RNA (327 nucleotides) under fungal sp. RNAcentral describes it as "partial internal transcribed spacer region". The stretch from base 1 to 46 matches the Rfam family "Eukaryotic small subunit ribosomal RNA", at positions 1786 to 1831 of the family's 1831-position model. The record is from RNAcentral. Lineage: Eukaryota; Fungi.